RNAcentral lists this ribosomal RNA (538 nucleotides) under uncultured bacterium. RNAcentral's name for it is "bacterial SSU rRNA". It matches the Rfam family "Bacterial small subunit ribosomal RNA", at positions 777 to 1314 of the family's 1533-position model. The record is from RNAcentral.
AAUAGAUACCCUGGUAGUCCACGCUGUAAACGAUGGGCACUAGGUGUGGGGGGUGUCGACUCCCUCCGUGCCGAAGCUAACGCAUUAAGUGCCCCGCCUGGGGAGUACGGCCGCAAGGCUAAAACUCAAAGGAAUUGACGGGGGCCCGCACAAGCAGCGGAGCAUGUGGUUUAAUUCGACGCAACGCGAAGAACCUUACCUGGGCUUGACAUGUUCCUGACCGUCCUGGAAACAGGGCUUCCCUUCGGGGCAGGAUCACAGGUGGUGCAUGGCCGUCGUCAGCUCGUGUCGUGAGAUGUUGGGUUAAGUCCCGCAACGAGCGCAACCCCCGUCGCAUGUUGCCAGCAUUAAGUUGGGGACUCAUGCGAGACUGCCGGUGACAAACCGGAGGAAGGUGGGGAUGACGUCAAGUCAUCAUGCCCCUUAUGUCCAGGGCUACACACGUGCUACAUUGGCGCGUACAGAGGGCUGCGAUACCGCGAGGUGGAGCGAGUCCCUUAAAGCGCGUCUCGGUUCGGAUUGCAGGCUGGAAACCCCG